GCGAGUAUGCCGAAAUUGGUAGCCGGGUGGGUUUUAGGCACUCAUAAUUAUUCAAAUUGUAAGAGUUCAAGUCUCUUUACUCGUA
This 85-nucleotide transfer RNA is filed under the name Cyathus jiayuguanensis. Its description in RNAcentral is "tRNA-Leu". It matches the Rfam family "tRNA". From Rfam's summary of the family: Transfer RNA (tRNA) molecules are approximately 80 nucleotides in length. The record is from RNAcentral. Lineage: Eukaryota; Fungi; Basidiomycota; Agaricomycetes; Agaricales; Nidulariaceae.